UACGAAGGGGGCUAGCGUUGCUCGGAAUCACUGGGCGUAAAGCGCACGUAGGCGGGUCUUUAAGUCAGGGGUGAAAUCCCGGAGCUCAACUCCGGAACUGCCUUUGAUACUGGAGAUCUUGAGUCCGGGAGAGGUGAGUGGAACUCCGAGUGUAGAGGUGAAAUUCGUAGAUAUUCGGAAGAACACCAGUGGCGAAGGCGGCUAUCUGGACGGUUUCUGACACUAAGACUCGAAAGCGUGGGGAGCAAACAGG
RNAcentral lists this ribosomal RNA (253 nucleotides) under uncultured bacterium. Its description in RNAcentral is "partial 16S ribosomal RNA". It matches the Rfam family "Bacterial small subunit ribosomal RNA", at positions 524 to 776 of the family's 1533-position model. The record is from RNAcentral.